This is a small nuclear RNA of Andrographis paniculata, 115 nucleotides long. RefSeq annotates it as U5 spliceosomal RNA. The record is from RefSeq and is a predicted model, not a curated record. The transcript has a single exon. Lineage: Eukaryota; Viridiplantae; Streptophyta; Magnoliopsida; Lamiales; Acanthaceae.
AAGCUGUACAGUAAGCACAUAGCGAACUAUUCUUUCGCCUUUUACUAAAGAAUACCACUUGUUUGUUGCAAUUAAGCGGCAUUAUCCUAUUUUUGAAAACGAUCUUUUCAUUUUU